CUUCGUAGGUGACCUGCGGAAGGAUCAUUAUCGUUGGGCUUCGGCCCAUUCGAGAUAACACCCUUGCCUUUUUGAGUACCUUUUCGUUUCCUCGGCAGGCUCGCCUGCCAACGGGGACCCUUCAAAACGCUUUGUAAUACCUGUAAUUGUCUGAUAUAACAAGCAAAAAUCAAAACUUUCAACAACGGAUCUCUUGGUUCUGGCAUCGAUGAAGAACGCAGCGAAAUGCGAUAAGUAGUGUGAAUUGCAGAAUUCAGUGAAUCAUCGAAUCUUUGAACGCACAUUGCGCCCUUUGGUAUUCCUUAGGGCAUGCCUGUUCGAGCGUCAUUUAAACCUUCAAGCUCAGCUUGGUGAUGGGCGACUGUCCCCCCCCCUCGCGGGGGGGACUCGCCUCAAAAACAUUGGCGGCCGGUACAUUGGCUUCGAGCGCAGCAGAAACGCGGUCUCGAGCCCGGUGGAUCGGCUCCCAUAAGCCUAUUCUUUUAUUUUGACCUCGGAUCAGGUAGGGAUACCCGCUGAACUUAAGCAUAUCAAUAAGCGGAGGAAAAGAAACCAACAGGGAUUGCCCUAGUAACGGCGAGUGAAGCGGCAACAGCUCAAAUUUGAAAUCUGGCCCUUUCAGGGUCCGAGUUGUAAUUUGUAGAGGGUGCUUUGGCGUUGGCUGUGGUCUAAGUUCCUUGGAACAGGACGUCGCAGAGGGUGAGAAUCCCGUAUGUGGCCGCCAGUCUUCGCCGUGUAAAGCCCCUUCGACGAGUCGAGUUGUUUGGGAAUGCAGCUCUAAAUGGGAGGUAAAUUUCUUCUAAAGCUAAAUAUUGGCCAGAGACCGAUAGCGCACAAGUAGAGUGAUCGAAAGAUGAAAAGCACUUUGGAAAGAGAGUCAAAAAGCACGUGAAAUUGUUGAAAGGGAAGCGCUUGCAGCCAGACUUGCCUGUAGUUGCUCAUCCGGGCUUUUGCCCGGUGCACUCUUCUAUGGGCAGGCCAGCAUCAGUCCCAGCGGUUGGAUAAAUGCCUGUUGAAUGUACCUCUCCUCGGGGAGGACUUAUAGCUUCAGGCGGCAUACAACCAGCCGGGAUUGAGGUCCGCGCAUCUGCUAGGAUGCU
This 1100-nucleotide ribosomal RNA is filed under the name Preussia sp. WF144. RNAcentral describes it as "eukaryotic LSU rRNA". The stretch from base 489 to 1100 matches the Rfam family "Eukaryotic large subunit ribosomal RNA", at positions 1 to 627 of the family's 3401-position model. The record is from RNAcentral. Lineage: Eukaryota; Fungi; Ascomycota; Dothideomycetes; Pleosporales; Sporormiaceae.